UUUUUGACGUUUUGGAGUUGGGCCUAUAUUUUACAGGCGUCUCAGGGCGUUAUGGCAAUGAAAGACUUAAUCUCAUUCAUUUUUAACUCAUUCAUGCGCAUGCGCAAUGAAUGAGUUAUGGCGAUGUGGGUUUUCGCGAACACAGCGGUCAAACGUCUGCGCAUGCGUCAGAAUAUAAAAACAAAAUGGCGGAAAUGCAAUGCCAGUUCUGGAAAAAAACGAAACAAUUCGGGAUUUUUAUCCUAUGACAAUGGCUUAGUCACUCCAGAUCUCUACAAUAUAGAAUCCUCUAUAAUUGUGAAUGUGGUUUUAUGAGUUUUAACUGUUAGACAUGGCCACUUUAUCCUGGAAACUUUGUAAAUAGAUGUUUCCCCGGGACAAGCACCUAUGAAUUAUGGCUUGACUUGGCUAUGAGUGCUCCAUAUUGGCCAUGCAGCUGACUGUCAAGUAGUAGAAUGUCAUUUCCCAACAAAGCCAAUGGAGAGGCUAUUGAUAAUGACUACAGCAGCUAAAUUUGGUUCACAGACAAGUCUUUGUUAAUAGAAUGCUAAAGAUGCCUGGGGAACGGCAUCAUGAUUAUUGUUUGUAAAUUCAAGAUUAAAUUGAUCCUCUGUUAUGAUGUACCCUGCUAGCAGAGCUUCCUUCCUGUUUGUUUCUAUAAGUUCACUUAUCUGUGUUGCUAAUCUGUUUUUACGCGUUAUUGUUCGUUUGUGACGGCAGGAGAAACCUCUGCAGACAGCCGCUUUUGAAUCAUGUUGGCAUGCGCAAAAUCAUUUUUGCUGCAACCAUCGGAAUUCUCAUCACAUCAAGCUGUAUUUUGAAAUUCCCAGCCGCAGCAACUCUGAUAUCUGUCACGCAAAAGCGCUCACGCUUGAGCUCGGUAGCACAUUCCUUGCUUAAAGCAGUUAAAUUUGAUUUUUGCUAUUAAUAUGGCUAUCAAACACGACCAGAAGACCGAUACUCCAGAGAUUUGAAAUACUACAUGAAUAUGAACAAAGCCAGUUAAGCACUGACAGGUUCAAUUAGAAACAUGUGUCGAUCAGGAGCUUCGAACGUCUGCACUCUUGAUUAACUGUAAUAACAGCGUAAGACAACUUCUUUAGACUAGUCUAACAAUUCAUUCUUAUUUUGUUUAUUAUGUAUGUUGUUAUUUGUGAGCAUUCUCAUCAAAAGUUCUGGAAAUCUGAUAGCUUGAGGGUUUCAAAUCAUUACUGCUGUGAAUCCAUUACUAAAAGCUGUCACACCUCUGAUAAAAACAAUCGGUUAAACCAUUUGACUACCUCCAAAAACUUGGAGGUGACUAAUGCCCAUGCUCAACGGGAUUUGAUAGCUGACCUCUAGUUAAUGUUUGAUGAAUAGUGUUCCCUCGUGUUAUACAGUUGAUCAUAAGUAUACUCCAAAAAGAAGCCACACUUUUAUUUGGAAAUGAAAUGUUUGGAGAGUUAACGCAAAUAGUGUUAGCCAGUAGUAAAACUAUAAAAGUACAUGCAUUUGAACCAUUUCUUCCAUUUAAGGUUGACUGUGAGAUACACAUAUAGGAAAAGGUAAAAGAAAGAGAAAAGAUCAAGAGAAAGAAAAAAAAAACAUCUCAAAGCUCUACUAAUAAGAAGGAAAAAUCCUAUUAAACUAGAAGUUAAAAUAGGAGAGGAAUUUUAGAAAAAGCUUGAAGAAAAGAAAAUAGAAGAGUAAAGGAUGUAAAUUGACAGUAAAAUAAGAGAAAUUAAAAUUGAGGCAAAUAAUAAAAUGUAAGAAGUAGAAAACAAAACCAAAGUAUGUACACCCUUUUAAGUUUAAAAUGUGUACACCAUGUUGGAGUUGGAAAUUAUAAUUAAACCUCAAUAUAACUAGUUGAAGAAGAAGAAAUUAAAUGGAAGAUAUGAUACAAA
Nematostella vectensis (starlet sea anemone) is the source of this 1886-nucleotide long non-coding RNA. RefSeq lists it as uncharacterized. The record is from RefSeq and is a predicted model, not a curated record. The transcript is spliced from 2 exons. Lineage: Eukaryota; Metazoa; Cnidaria; Anthozoa; Actiniaria; Edwardsiidae.